CGGAGGGAUACCCGAGCCUUUUCCGGAUUUCCAUGAGGUGAGAAGAUUUUCUGUACGACUCGCAGUUUUCGUCGGGAGGUGAACCCAAUGGAGCUUCAAGCUUCUCUCUGUUUGGCCCAAUUCCCAGAACACUGUUGAGCUCUCCGUACUGCUUUGAUGGCCUCCUCCUUCUUCCCCUGAGUGAUGAGCCAGCGAGCUGACUCCGGAAGGACCCUGGUUGACAGAGAACCCUACAAUCAAAAACUCUGAGUGCCUGCAUAGCAGAAUGGAUCCGACCUUUAGACAGUAAAACCCAUGAAAAAAAGACAGCACAUCAUUCUUUGGGGAGUCAACCAACCAGAAAGAUGACGUCAGUACUAAACAUGCUUGUUUCAGGUUGUGUCCCCCCUCCAAGAUCCAGUCGGUGUUACAGUGGUGAGGAAAGUUCAUGCCAGUGAACACCUGGCAGAUCACAUCAAAUGCUACAAAUACGCUGGGGAUGCAGAGUGCAG
This is a long non-coding RNA of Oryzias melastigma (Indian medaka), 491 nucleotides long. RefSeq lists it as uncharacterized. The record is from RefSeq and is a predicted model, not a curated record. The transcript has 5 exons. NCBI's taxonomy places the organism in Eukaryota, Metazoa, Chordata, Actinopteri, Beloniformes, Adrianichthyidae.